RNAcentral lists this ribosomal RNA (281 nucleotides) under uncultured bacterium. Its description in RNAcentral is "partial 16S ribosomal RNA". It matches the Rfam family "Bacterial small subunit ribosomal RNA", at positions 335 to 607 of the family's 1533-position model. The record is from RNAcentral.
UGUACCUACGGGACGCAGCAGUAGGGAAUUUUCGUCAAUGGGCGCAAGCCUGAACGAGCGAUGCCGCGUGAGUGAAGAAGGCCUUCGGGUCGUAAAGCUCUGUUGCGGGGGAAAAAAGGCAGCAUCAGGAAAUGGGUGCUGACUGAUGGUGCCCCGCCAGAAAGUCACGGCUAACUACGUGCCAGCAGCCGCGGUAAUACGUAGGUGGCGAGCGUUAUCCGGAAUGAUUGGGCGUAAAGGGUGCGCAGGCGGUCCCGAAAGCCGGGAGUGAAAUGCAUGAG